GACGAACGCUGGCGGCGUGCUUAACACAUGCAAGUCGAACGGAAAGGCCCUGCUCUUGUGGGGUGCUCGAGUGGCGAACGGGGGAGUAACACGUGAGUAACCUGCCCUUGACUUUGGGAUAACUUCAGGAAACUGGGGCUAAUACCGGAUAGGAGCUCCUGCUGCAUGGUGGGGGUUGGAAAGUUUCGGCGGUUGGGGCUGGACUCGCGGCUUAUCCGCUUGAUGGUGGAGUAGUGGCUUACCAAGGCUUUGACGGGUAGCCGGCCUGAGCGGGUGACCGGCCACAUUGGGACUGCGAUACGCACCAGACGCCUACGGGAGGCAGCAGGCGGGAAUAUUGCACAAUGGGCGGAAGCCUGAUGCAGCAACGCCGCGUGCGUGAUGACGGCCUUCGGGGUGUAAACCGCUUUCGCCGGUGACGUAGCGUGAGUGACGGUAAUGGGUAAAGAAGCACCGGCUAACUACGUG
This 468-nucleotide ribosomal RNA is filed under the name uncultured bacterium. Its description in RNAcentral is "partial 16S ribosomal RNA". It matches the Rfam family "Bacterial small subunit ribosomal RNA", at positions 28 to 507 of the family's 1533-position model. The record is from RNAcentral.